RNAcentral lists this unclassified non-coding RNA (171 nucleotides) under soil metagenome. RNAcentral's name for it is "partial internal transcribed spacer 1". The record is from RNAcentral.
GCGAGUAUAACUCUCUAAAACCAUUGUGAACCUACCUCACCGUUGCUUCGGCGGGUGGCCCGGGGCAACCCAGGCCGCGCCGGCACCCUUCUUCGGGGGGCCCGGCAAGCCCGUCAGAGGACCGAAACCCUGUAAUUACUGGCCUCUCUGAGUAACUUAUACAAUAAGUCA